ACAGUAACAUUAGGGAACUAAAUUUGACUGAAAAAGGCAAAUGAGAAGUGAAUCUCUGUGUGUUCCAAUGUUGUUUAAAUUAACUGAGAGCAUGCAUUGUGUUGUGAUGCAGCAUUUAUUACGAACGGCAUUAACCACUGCUUCUUAAUGCAAGAUUCCACCUAACUGGCCUGUUCUGAGCCCUCAGCUGGUCCUAUGUCUUCCACGGGUAGAAUUAAGGAGCUUGUGGUACAGGUUAUUAAGGAGCUUGUGGUACAAGAUACAAAUUGCUUUCACUGAAAGGGUCGUAUGAUUGUUUUCCAAAUAGAAGGUGACAUAAAAUAGCUGGAACAUAAUCAAGCAAGUAGGAUGUGCCUUAAAAAAAAAAAAAAAAUACACAGGUGCAUACCCUCCGUGGGUUUAGGUAAUAACUUAAACUAAAGCCAUUUAAAAGAUCUUAUUUUUGAGUAGCUUGAAAAUUGAAGAGUUAAUGUAGUUAAAAUGGAUCUCCAGAUAAUCAGUGGCCUUACAGAAGCUAUUGGGAAGAUGAAUGUUUCAUUCUGUUUAAAUCAAGUUAUCGUGGUGUCAUUAGAAAUCUCAGAGGUUCAGCCUUGUGGAAGGAUUUAAAGGCAACACUUCAACAAUAAUCGGAUUAGAAGGACUUGCAUAGCUACAUGGUCUAAAAAACAGAUAAAAGAAGACAGAGUUCAAACUUGCCACAAAGAAAGGCAUUGAGCUGUGAGGUGCAGAAUCAACACACUGUUCUGAGACUUUGAUUUCGACAAUUACACAAAGUAGGGAUGCCUGCAGAUUUCAAUGGUUACUGGAAAAUGAUCAGCAAUGACAAUUUUGAGGAGUAUCUGAAAGCACUGGGUAAGCUUCCUUUCAUGUUUCUUUGAUAAAUAAUCAAUAAAUGCUACCCGUCUUAGUCUUGACAUGAACCUAUUUUUCCUUGUACAGUCAUAAAUCAUUUUUGUGAGAAAUAAUUUUUCAGGAAUACGCUGUAAGAAUUGCUCUAUGCAAAAUUGUCUUAAGCAGUCUCUACUUUUUAACAUCUUGACGGUUAAUUUUACAGUGAUUAAACUACAUAGCUGAAAGAGGUAAGUGGCAGAUUUCAAACUUCAAACCCAACCAUAACUUUAAAGUUUUAUAUGUGCUACAGAGACAAUAAAGUACUUGAUGCAAUUCUGUAUGUUUACAUUUGAUGAAAUAUGCAAAAUGCUAAUAGUUCUAUAGAAAUACUGAUACCCUCAGUAACUGUGAAAUGCAAGUGGUGUUUUUUAGGGUUCCACACAACCAGCACAUCAAGACAAACUUAUUUAAGUUAAAAGAAUUAGGCUAUGGAUUUUUCCUUUUAAGCAAGCUGACCUGAAAGAUCUGGACAUUUAUUUAUCCAUGUUCAUUUUAGUCCUCCCAAGAGCUACAUGCCAGCUUUUGUGGUAGACUUUUCUGGAUUAAAGUAACUCUUUUUCUUUUUCAGAUGUAAAUGUUGCUGUAAGAAAAAUAGCAAACUUGCUAAAACCUGACAAAGAAAUCCUUCAGAAUGGGGAUCAUAUGAUCAUUAAAACGCUAAGCACUUUUAGAAACUACAUCAUGGAAUUUGAUGUAGGGAAGGAGUUUGAGGAGGAUUUAGCUGGGGUGGAUGAUCGCAAAUGCAUGAUACUGACUUGAUGUGAUAAAAUGAGUUACAGACUGGAGAGAUGACAAACUCUGAACGUGUUUGUAGCCCUCCCGUUAGCAGUGUGCAGCAUGCCUCCACACAGAAAGUCACAGACCACAGUAUCCUGGGAGGGAGAUAAGCUUCUUUGUGUACAGAAAGGAGAAAAAGAAGAUCGUGGCUGGACUCAGUGGAUUGAAGGAGAUGAAAUGCACCUGGAAAUAAGAGUGUGUGGAGUCAAGUGUAAGCAG
Molecule: RNA transcript, 1887 nt
Organism: Cygnus olor (mute swan)
Lineage: Eukaryota; Metazoa; Chordata; Aves; Anseriformes; Anatidae
Gene: RBP1
Gene name: retinol binding protein 1
Exons: 4
Source: RefSeq, a predicted model, not a curated record